UGCAGUCGAGCGAAUGACGAGGAGCUUGCUCCUCUGAUUUAGCGGCGGACGGGUGAGUAACACGUGGGUAAUCUGCCUGUAAGACGGGGAUAACUCCGGGAAACCGGGGCUAAUACCGGAUAAUAAGAAGAAACGCAUGUUUCUUUUUUGAAAGUCGGUUUCGGCUGACACUUACAGAUGAGCCCGCGGCGCAUUAGCUAGUUGGUGAGGUAACGGCUCACCAAGGCGACGAUGCGUAGCCGACCUGAGAGGGUGAUCGGCCACACUGGGACUGAGACACGGCCCAGACUCCUACGGGAGGCAGCAGUAGGGAAUCUUCGGCAAUGGGCGAAAGCCUGACCGAGCAACGCCGCGUGAGCGAUGAAGGCCUUCGGGUCGUAAAGCUCUGUUGUUAGAGAAGAACAAGUACGAGAGUAACUGCUCGUACCUUGACGGUACCUAACCAGAAAGCCACGGCUAACUACGUGCCAGCAGCCGCGGUAAUACGUAGGUGGCAAGCGUUAUCCGGAAUUAUUGGGCGUAAAGCGCGCGCAGGCGGUCUCUUAAGUCUGAUGUGAAAGCCCACGGCUCAACCGUGGAGGGUCAUUGGAAACUGGGAGACUUGAGUGCAGGAGAGAAAAGUGGAAUUCCACGUGUAGCGGUGAAAUGCGUAGAGAUGUGGAGGAACACCAGUGGCGAAGG
This 681-nucleotide ribosomal RNA is filed under the name Fictibacillus barbaricus. Its description in RNAcentral is "bacterial SSU rRNA". It matches the Rfam family "Bacterial small subunit ribosomal RNA", at positions 56 to 721 of the family's 1533-position model. The record is from RNAcentral. Lineage: Bacteria; Bacillati; Bacillota; Bacilli; Caryophanales; Fictibacillaceae.